This 467-nucleotide ribosomal RNA is filed under the name uncultured bacterium. Its description in RNAcentral is "partial 16S ribosomal RNA". It matches the Rfam family "Bacterial small subunit ribosomal RNA", at positions 29 to 507 of the family's 1533-position model. The record is from RNAcentral.
ACGAACGCUGGCGGCGUGCUUAACACAUGCAAGUCGAACGGAAAGGCCCUGCUUUUGUGGGGUUCUCGAGUGGCGAACGGGUGAGUAACACGUGAGUAACCUGCCCUUGACUUUGGGAUAACUUCAGGAAACUGGGGCUAAUACCGGAUAGGAGCUCCUGCUGCCUGGUGGGGGGUGGAAAGUUUCGGCGGUUGGGGAUGGACUCGCGGCUUAUCAGCUUGUUGGUGGGGUAGUGGCUUACCAAGGCUUUGACGGGUAGCCGGCCUGAGAGGGUGACCGGCCACAUUGGGACUGAGAUACGGCCCAGACUCCUACGGGAGGCAGCAGUGGGGAAUAUUGCACAAUGGGCGGAAGCCUGAUGCAGCAACGCCGCGUGCGGGAUGACGGCCUUCGGGUUGUAAACCGCUUUCGCCUGUGACGAAGCGUGAGUGACGGUAAUGGGUAAAGAAGCACCGGCUAACUACGUG